GACGAACGCUGGCGGCGUGCUUAACACAUGCAAGUCGAACGGAAAGGCCCUGCUUUUGUGGGGUGCUCGAGUGGCGAACGGGUGAGUAACACGUGAGUAACCUGCCCUUGACUGUGGGAUAACUUCAGGAAACUGGGGCUAAUACCGGAUAGGAGCUCCUGCUGCAUGGGGGGGGUUGGAAAGUUUCGGCGGUUGGGGAUGGACUCGCGGCUUAUCAGCUUGUUGGUGGGGUAGUGGCUGACCAAGGCUUUGACGGGUAGCCGGCCUGAGAGGGUGACCGGCCACAUUGGGCCUGCGAUACGGCCCAGUCUCCUACGGGCCGCAGCAGUGGGGAAUCUUGCACAGUGGGCGGACGCCUGAUGCAGCAACGCCGCGUGCGGGAUGACGUCCUUCGGGUUGUAAACCGCUUUCGCCUGUGCCGAAGCGUGCGUGACGGUAAUGAGUAAGGAAGCCCCGGCUAACUACGUG
Molecule: ribosomal RNA, 468 nt
Filed under: uncultured bacterium
Lineage: Bacteria
Description: partial 16S ribosomal RNA
Rfam family: Bacterial small subunit ribosomal RNA
Source: RNAcentral